UAGUUAGGGACAGGUAAAAGCACUCAUCUGCCUAUGCCUCAGCUCGUCCAUCAAAGAAGGUUGCAGCACAGACUUCAUCUGAGGAACCCAACUCUUCAUCAGCACUCAGUCAAUUUUUAAAAGUGUCGUAUCCCUGAUGAGGGAUUCUCUGGGAAGAUUUCCUUGAAGGGGUACCCGACAGUGAUAAAUGAGGGCCACAUCCAUUGGAACAUUCACACUGGUCCCAUAAGCACGUAGGACAGAGUGGACGGAAGUCUGAAUCACCCUUCUUGGAUCAAUUAUCAUUUUCUUGGGAUU
Long non-coding RNA from Oxyura jamaicensis (ruddy duck), 297 nucleotides. RefSeq lists it as uncharacterized. The record is from RefSeq and is a predicted model, not a curated record. The transcript has 2 exons. Lineage: Eukaryota; Metazoa; Chordata; Aves; Anseriformes; Anatidae.